Molecule: long non-coding RNA, 412 nt
Organism: Raphanus sativus (radish)
Lineage: Eukaryota; Viridiplantae; Streptophyta; Magnoliopsida; Brassicales; Brassicaceae
Exons: 2
Source: RefSeq, a predicted model, not a curated record
UAAACAUAACACAAACCCAAGAGAAAAAACACUACAUGGGCUUAACAUAAAUGCCCAUGUCUGCCUCAACCCUAGGGUUUUCAUGGAGUAUAUAUAUUCCGAGUUACGCUUUCUGCUCUCUCUUCUUGCUACCGUCACCGGGAAAUAGCCAGAGUAAGGUUUUGAGAAAAAAAGAGUUCCUCCGCAAUGAGAGCCAAGUGGAAGAAGAAGCGUAUGAGGAGGUUGAAGAGGAAGAGACGAAAGAUGAGACAGCGAUCUAAGUAGACUCCUCUCUUGAAGACUUCGCUUUCCAGUUAUUUCAUUUCGCUAAGUACUUUUGUUUGGAUCUUGUUUAAGCUCUAAGUUUUCUUGUCUUCGUUUCUGUCGGAUUGUAUGGAUCCUCAAUUAACGUUAAAUCUUUUUAUCUUUCUAA